UAUCUAAAACUCAUUAUUUCC
RNAcentral lists this non-coding RNA (21 nucleotides) under Caenorhabditis elegans. Lineage: Eukaryota; Metazoa; Nematoda; Chromadorea; Rhabditida; Rhabditidae. The record is from RNAcentral.